This 493-nucleotide ribosomal RNA is filed under the name uncultured bacterium. RNAcentral's name for it is "partial 16S ribosomal RNA". It matches the Rfam family "Bacterial small subunit ribosomal RNA", at positions 28 to 507 of the family's 1533-position model. The record is from RNAcentral.
GACGAACGCUGGCGGCGUGCUUAACACAUGCAAGUCGAACGGUGAAGGGACCGGUUUUUGCUGGUUCUGGAUGAGUGGCGAACGGGUGAGUAACACGUGAGUAACCUGCCCCCUUCUUCUGGAUAACCGCAUGAAAGUGUGGCUAAUACGGGAUAUUCUGCGCCUGCUGCAUGGUGGGUGUGGGAAAGAUAUUGUUUCGGUGGGGGAUGGGCUCGCGGCCUAUCAGCUUGUUGGUGGGGUGAUGGCCUACCAAGGCGGUGACGGGUAGCCGGCCUGAGAGGGCGGACGGUCACACUGGGACUGAGACACGGCCCAGACUCCUACGGGAGGCAGCAGUGGGGAAUAUUGCACAAUGGGCGCAAGCCUGAUGCAGCGACGCCGCGUGAGGGAUGGAGGCCUUCGGGUUGUAAACCUCUUUCGCCAGUGAAGCAGGCCUGUCCCUUUUGUGGGUGGGUUGACGGUAGCUGGAGAAGAAGCGCCGGCUAACUACGUG